Molecule: ribosomal RNA, 286 nt
Filed under: Klebsiella pneumoniae
Lineage: Bacteria; Pseudomonadati; Pseudomonadota; Gammaproteobacteria; Enterobacterales; Enterobacteriaceae
Description: partial 16S ribosomal RNA
Rfam family: Bacterial small subunit ribosomal RNA
Source: RNAcentral
CCGCACAAGCGGUGGAGCAUGUGGUUUAAUUCGAUGCAACGCGAAGAACCUUACCUGGUCUUGACAUCCACAGAACUUAGCAGAGAUGCUUUGGUGCCUUCGGGAACUGUGAGACAGGUGCUGCAUGGCUGUCGUCAGCUCGUGUUGUGAAAUGUUGGGUUAAGUCCCGCAACGAGCGCAACCCUUAUCCUUUGUUGCCAGCGGUCGGCCGGGAACUCAAAGGAGACUGCCAGUGAUAAACUGGAGGAAGGUGGGGAUGACGUCAAGUCAUCAUGSCCUUACGACC